GCUCGAAAGGUGGAAUGCAAGAAGGACUUAAAAUCCUUUGGCCAUUGCGGCUGUGCGGGUUCAAGUCCCGCUUCGAGUA
This 79-nucleotide transfer RNA is filed under the name Bacteroides cellulosilyticus. RNAcentral's name for it is "tRNA-OTHER". It matches the Rfam family "tRNA". Rfam says of the family: Transfer RNA (tRNA) molecules are approximately 80 nucleotides in length. Their secondary structure includes four short double-helical elements and three loops (D, anti-codon, and T loops). The record is from RNAcentral. Lineage: Bacteria; Pseudomonadati; Bacteroidota; Bacteroidia; Bacteroidales; Bacteroidaceae.